AGUGAACGCUGGCGGUAGGCCUAACACAUGCAAGUCGAACGGCAGCACAGUAAGAGCUUGCUCUUACGGGUGGCGAGUGGCGGACGGGUGAGGAAUACAUCGGAAUCUACUUUUUCGUGGGGGAUAACGUAGGGAAACUUACGCUAAUACCGCAUACGACCUACGGGUGAAAGCAGGGGAUCUUCGGACCUUGCGCGAUUGAAUGAGCCGAUGUCGGAUUAGCUAGUUGGCGGGGUAAAGGCCCACCAAGGCGACGAUCCGUAGCUGGUCUGAGAGGAUGAUCGGCCCCACUGGACCUGGGAACCGGUCCAGACUCCUACGGGAGGCAGCAGUGGGAAAUAUUGGCCAAUGGGCGCAAGCCUGAUCCAGCCAUACCGCGUGGGUGAAGAAGGCCUUCGGGUUGUAAAGCCCUUUUGUUGGGAAAGAAAAGCAGCAGGUUAAUACCCCGCUGUUCUGACGGUACCCAAAGAAUAAGCACCGGCUACCUUCGU
RNAcentral lists this ribosomal RNA (491 nucleotides) under uncultured bacterium. Its description in RNAcentral is "partial 16S ribosomal RNA". It matches the Rfam family "Bacterial small subunit ribosomal RNA", at positions 29 to 506 of the family's 1533-position model. The record is from RNAcentral.